This is a long non-coding RNA of Solanum tuberosum (potato), 572 nucleotides long. RefSeq lists it as uncharacterized. The record is from RefSeq and is a predicted model, not a curated record. The transcript has 2 exons. NCBI's taxonomy places the organism in Eukaryota, Viridiplantae, Streptophyta, Magnoliopsida, Solanales, Solanaceae.
AACAAAAGUUAAGUAUGUUUCCAAAUUGAAAUUGGAAAAUUCAGAGCUACUUCUUCAUUUUGCUAGCAAGCUUUUCAAGCUUCAAUGCAUCGAUCCAUUUCCUCCAUUUAGCUAAGAUCUGGUGGUGGCUUUUGUUGAAAGCGGUGGUCUCUAUUCUAAUUUGGUCCUGUCAUGUGUUUGCGCUUAAGGUCGGUAUUCUCUUUUUUCUCCUAUUUAUCUCAUAGAUUUGUGUCCACAUUUUGCUCAUAUGCUUGUUAUUCUUGAAUUUGUUGCACCUAAUCGAGUUGUAUCAUUCUUGAACGGUCACUUUUUUCUGACUUCUAUUUGGGAGCUACUGGUAUUCUUCAUACUUUAACGGUUUUCCAUUGAAUUUUGAGCAUUGGGUUGAGCUUCCGAAGAUGCUGAUACCACCACUGUCCAAAUUUCAACGUAUCCAGAAUAGUUUCAAGAUGUGCAUACCUUUCUUGUUUUCCCAAUUUUGUCGUCUGGAAAUCUUCCGCUGCAACAUAUUUAUGCCUCAUUUGUAUAAUUUUUUCUUGAUGUUUAUUCACAGUUGGUUGAGUUUUUGCAUA